RNAcentral lists this non-coding RNA (252 nucleotides) under Hydrogenophaga sp. H7. Lineage: Bacteria; Pseudomonadati; Pseudomonadota; Betaproteobacteria; Burkholderiales; Comamonadaceae. The record is from RNAcentral. RNAcentral also lists the same sequence under 1 other name.
CUUACAAUGGAUUCCGUUGGUGCUCGCGGUGUGGUUCACAUGCCGCAGUUCAACGGGAAGCAGGAGGGGAAGUCCACGCCGACCGACCUAACCUGCGCUGCCCCCGCAACGGUAAGCAGACGGGAUCCGGGCUUUCGCCCGGUCCCUGCCUUCACCCCACAGCCACUGGACAACCGGUUUCGACCGGCGCUCCGGGAAGGCGGUGGAGGUCGUUCUGCCAGCCCGGAUACCGGCCAACACGGUGGUGACGUG